CAAGAGGGCAUCUUCUUGUUUUUAAAGACCUAGCAAUAGGUAUGCUUAGGGAGGAGCUUGCGUCACAUUAGUUAGUUGGUGGGGUAAAGGCCUACCAAGACUAUGAUGUGUAGCCGGGCUGAGAGGUUGAACGGCCACAUUGGGACUGAGACACGGCCCAAACUCCUACGGGAGGCAGCAGUAGGGAAUUUUCGGCAAUGGAGGAAACUCUGACCGAGCAACGCCGCGUGAACGAUGAAGUAUUUCGGUACGUAAAGUUCUUUUAUUAGGGAAGAAUAAAUGAUGGAAAAAUCAUUCUGACGGUACCUAAUGAAUAAGCCCCGGCUAACUAUGUGCCAGCAGCCGCGGUAAUACAUAGGGGGCAAGCGUUAUCCGGAAUUAUUGGGCGUAAAGGGUGCGUAGGCGGUUAAAUAAGUUUAUGGUCUAAGUGCAAUGCUCAACAUUGUGAUGCUAUAAAAACUGUUUAGCUAGAGUAAGAUAGAGGCAAGUGGAAUUCCAUGUGUAGUGGUAAAAUGCGUAAAUAUAUGGAGGAACACCAGUAGCGAAGGCGGCUUGCUGGGUCUUUACUGACGCUGAGGCACGAAAGCGUGGGGAGCAAACAGGAUUAGAUACCCUGGUAGUCCACGCCGUAAACGAUGAGUACUAAACGUUGGGUAAAACCAGUGUUGAAGUUAACACAUUAAGUACUCCGCCUGAGUAGUACGUACGCAAGUAUGAAACUUAAAGGAAUUGACGGGACUCCGCACAAGCGGUGGAUCAUGUUGUUUAAUUCGAAGGUACCCGAAAAACCUCACCAGGUCUUGACAUGCUUCUGCAAAGCUGUAGAAACACAGUGGAGGUUAUCAGUUGCACAGGUGGUGCAUGGUUGUCGUCAGCUCGUGUCGUGAGAUGUUGGGUUAAGUCCCGCAACGAGCGCAACCCUUAUUGUUAGUUACCAGCACGUAAUGGUGGGGACUUUAGCAAGACUGCCAGUGAUAAAUUGGAGGAAGGUGGGGACGACGUCAAAUCAUCAUGCCCCUUAUGACCUGGGCUACAAACGUGAUACAAUGGCUGUUACAAAGAGUAGCUGAAGCGCAAGUUUUUGGCGAAUCUCAAAAAAACAGUCUCAGUUCGGAUUGAAGUCUGCAACUCGACUUCAUGAAGUUGGAAUCGCUAGUAAUCGCGAAUCAGCAUGUCGC
This 1178-nucleotide ribosomal RNA is filed under the name 'Crotalaria juncea' I phytoplasma. Its description in RNAcentral is "bacterial SSU rRNA". It matches the Rfam family "Bacterial small subunit ribosomal RNA", at positions 181 to 1360 of the family's 1533-position model. The record is from RNAcentral. Lineage: Bacteria; Bacillati; Mycoplasmatota; Mollicutes; Acholeplasmatales; Acholeplasmataceae.